Molecule: ribosomal RNA, 515 nt
Filed under: uncultured bacterium
Lineage: Bacteria
Description: partial 16S ribosomal RNA
Rfam family: Bacterial small subunit ribosomal RNA
Source: RNAcentral
GAUGAACGCUGGCGGCGUGCCUAAUACAUGCAAGUCGAGCGAAUGGAUUAAGAGCUUGCUCUUAUGAAGUUAGCGGCGGACGGGUGAGUAACACGUGGGUAACCUGCCCAUAAGACUGGGAUAACUCCGGGAAACCGGGGCUAAUACCGGAUAAUAUUUUGAACUGCAUGGUUCAAAAUUGAAAGGCGGCUUCGGCUGUCACUUAUGGCUGGACCGGCGUCGCAUUAGCUAGUUGGUGAGGUAACGGCUCACCAAGGCAACGAUGCGUAGCCGACCUGAGAGGGGGAUCGGCCACACUGGGACUGAGACACGGCCCAGACUCCUACGGGAGGCAGCAGUAGGGCAUCUUCCGCAAUGGACGAGAGUCUGACGGAGCAACGCCGCGUGAGUGAUGAAGGCUUUCGGGUCGUAAAACUCUGUUGUUAGGGAAGAACAAGUGCUAGUUGAAUAAGCUGGCACCUUGACGGUACCUAACCAGAAAGCCACGGCUAACUACGUGCCAGCAGCCGCAGUAA